RNAcentral lists this ribosomal RNA (253 nucleotides) under uncultured bacterium. RNAcentral's name for it is "partial 16S ribosomal RNA". It matches the Rfam family "Bacterial small subunit ribosomal RNA", at positions 524 to 776 of the family's 1533-position model. The record is from RNAcentral.
UACGAAGGGGGCUAGCGUUGCUCGGAAUCACUGGGCGUAAAGGGUGCGUAGGCGGGUCUUUAAGUCAGGGGUGAAAUCCUGGAGCUCAACUCCAGAACUGCCCUUGAUACUGAAGAUCUUGAGUGCGGGAGAGGUGAGUGGAACUGCGAGUGUAGAGGUGAAAUUCGUAGAUAUUCGCAAGAACACCAGUGGCGAAGGCGGCUCACUGGCCCGAUACUGACGCUGAGGCACGAAAGCGUGGGGAGCAAACAGG